CCCUUAGAUGUUCUGGGCCGCACGCGUGCUACACUGAACGGUUCAAUGGGUAAGGUAGUGCGAAAGCAUGACCUAAUCUCGAAAUCCGUUCGUGCUGGGGAUAGAAGCUUGCAAUUAUCCUUCUUGAACGAGGAAUACCUUGUAAGCGUGAGUCAUCAUCUCACGCUGAAUACGUCCCUGCCCUUUGUACACACCGCCCGUCGCUCCUACCGAUUGAGUGUUCCGGUGAGGCUUUGGGAGAAUGGCCUCAACAUGAGUUUAUCGUGUUUUGCCGUUUGAACUUAGUCAAACCUUAUCACCUAGAGGAAGGAGAAGUCGUAACA
Molecule: ribosomal RNA, 323 nt
Filed under: uncultured eukaryote
Lineage: Eukaryota
Description: partial 18S ribosomal RNA
Rfam family: Eukaryotic small subunit ribosomal RNA
Source: RNAcentral